Molecule: long non-coding RNA, 718 nt
Organism: Sinocyclocheilus rhinocerous
Lineage: Eukaryota; Metazoa; Chordata; Actinopteri; Cypriniformes; Cyprinidae
Exons: 2
Source: RefSeq, a predicted model, not a curated record
CCUUUGCAAUGUCGUCAUUACGGCAGCCGCUUCGGGCUCGCGGCGGAGGGUAGAGGAUUUCUGUCAUACGGCCCAGUAUAUUUUCACAAAAUAUUCAACUGUAGGAAUGAUCAUCCACAUUGCAUUCGUUAUCCAGCUAACAUCGGCGAUCCUUUGUGGGGGUGGGGUGAGUGAGGGCUGCUGUGAGGAUCCCACACUGUGGGGCAGCCACACACUGAAUGGUGUCUCCCACAAUGAAGGCGUUGGUGGAUGCAGUCUGGGUGGUGUGGAGCAUCGGGGCCUCAAUCUAUGACUACAUUCACACCAGUGCCAUGGAAGAACGCAUUCACUCACUGGAGAGUGCUAUAACCAUCCACCAGUGUGUCAUUGGCCUGCUGUCUGCUGGACUUGUGGCCCUCUUCACCUACAUUCUGCUAAGGAAGCACUGACCCAAAAUUUCAGCCAUUUUUUGUGUGCAAGGCUACAUCAGUGACAUCAGAGGAAAUUUUGGAACCAUGUUGAUGUCAAGCAAUGUUCAGUUCAUUUUAAAGGAAUUUUAACAUGCCUUUCACCUAAUUGGUUACUAAACUUUAUUAGUUUCUAAUUCUGUUGAAAUUUCCCUACUGUAUUAUCAGAGUUGAUGUGAUUCAGUGUAAUCUGGUAAACCAAAAUAAGCGUGUCUCUUAAUUAAAAAUAUGGCUACCACAGACGAAAGGAUUCAGAGAUGCUACCUGCCCCC